GAUGAAGAACGUAGCGAAAUGCGAUAAGUAGUGUGAAUUGCAGAAUUCAGUGAAUCAUCGAAUCUUUGAACGUACAUUGCGCCCCUUGGUAUCCCGAGGGGCAUGCCUGUUCGAGCGUCAUUUCACCACUCAAGCCUGGCUUGGUGUUGGGCGACGUCCCCUUUGGGGACGCGCCUCGAAACGCUCGGCGGCGUGGCACCGGCUUUAAGCGUAGCAGAAUCUUUCGCUUUGGAAGUCGGGGCCCCGUCUGCCGGAAGACCUACUCGCAAGGUUGACCUCGGAUCAGGCAGGGAUACCCGCUGAACUUAAGCAUAUCAAUAAGCGGAGGA
This 329-nucleotide unclassified non-coding RNA is filed under the name soil metagenome. Its description in RNAcentral is "partial contains 5.8S ribosomal RNA, internal transcribed spacer 2, and large subunit ribosomal RNA". The stretch from base 1 to 120 matches the Rfam family "5.8S ribosomal RNA", at positions 35 to 154 of the family's 154-position model. The record is from RNAcentral.